Gadus chalcogrammus (walleye pollock) is the source of this 2752-nucleotide long non-coding RNA. RefSeq lists it as uncharacterized. The record is from RefSeq and is a predicted model, not a curated record. NCBI's taxonomy places the organism in Eukaryota, Metazoa, Chordata, Actinopteri, Gadiformes, Gadidae. The transcript is spliced from 11 exons.
UCGAGUGACGUAGGCCGUAAAGUCCCGCCCCGGGCGAAGUGGCGUCGAUUGACAGUCCCAGAGCACACCAUACCGUGCCUUCCUGGAUUCUCCGACCAAUGAGAAAGCGAUUAGAAAGUCGAGCAUCAUGAAUAUUAGUUUCCUGUAUUGUUGCACUUGAAGGCGGAAGAGUGUGGUUCGACGGAUAGGCUACUUGAAAUGUUUCGACGGUCUCAAUUAAAGUAAGGCGCGUCGCUAGAAACAGAGUGUGACCAAAGCCAUAAGGACGUGGUUAAAGACGGUCAAAUAUAUUUCAGAACUUCAAGAAAAGUCUGUGACAGAAGUUUGAUGAUUGAAGCCCAAACACACCUGACAACCAUGUUUCUACCAUUCAUAUUAAUAAGUUGUUGCUUUGGCGUUGCUUCACCUUUAUCUUGUCCCCCGAAUGAAUACAAAGCAGGAAUGGAGUGUUGCCCAUCAUGUCCGCCUGGAAUGCAUGUUGUAAAGGACUGCGAAGAGAGAAGCAUGACACAGUGCUUAAGGUGCCCCGGUGGUACUUUCCAAGCCGGCUAUAAUGAGCAGAAGCAAUGCUCUGCCUGUACAAAGUGUGACGCAGGUCUCGGUCUGAAGGUGAAGAAGUCGUGUUCAUCAACAUCAGAUGUUCUGUGUAAGCCCCUGGAUGGAUUCUUCUGUAGUGACUCUAACAGAGGUGGAUGUAGGGCCGCUCAGAGACACCGUCUGAGCUGCAGUCCUGGUCAAUACAUCGGUCAAAGAGGAACAGCAGAUAAAGACAUGGAGUGCCUUCACUGUACUGAUGGAACAUUCUCAGAUGGCACACGGUCGUCUUGCAAGAACCACACAAAAUGUGAUUCUGUGGGAGGGGUGCUGCAGAUACAACCAGGAACUGAUUCAACUGAUUCUACAUGUAUUGAUUACGUUGUGAUUGGGGUCAUAAUAAUAGGAUGCAUAUCAAUCAUCGCCCUUGGAGCAUUGGUUUAUAGAAGACGUAAGAAGGUAAGUGUUAUUCCUUACAUAACACAAUAAUAUGUGUGACCCUAGCUGGCAGUGGUGGAGUUAUUAGAUGAUGACCUUGUAAUGAACCCAAUGUUGAUAUUUUAUUCACUUUUUCAUUUAUAGGGAAAGAAAAAGCAGGGGUGGCGGUUACAUGGUGGAGCUGCUGGAGAAAGGACAUCUGAUCCCUCAUCCACAUCUCUCCUCUCUAUGAAGCUUCCUGCAGGUCUAGAGACACCCAUCCCUCCAAUGAAACACAGCCUGCUGAAGAAACUGGGUUGCCCGACCUGGUGACCGUCCUGCACCAACCAGGGACCAACAAGAACCUGCCAUAACUGUCCCUGAUACACCUAUGGAAGAUCUUGAUGAUGAUUAGAGUCUGGGUCCAGCCCGACCCUCAAGCCCCAAACAUAAUAGAUCCCCGAACAGGCUAGCUACAACACCGUGGAGUUGUGAGUCUAAUGCCGCUUUUCCACUGCAUGGCCCCCUCCAUUUAUGCCUUUAAAUCAAGGCUCAAAACCCAUCUGUACAACCUUGUCUUCCCUCCCCAUUACCUAUCUGACCUCUGCACUAUUGCCUUUGUUGUGUGUGGAUGUCCGGUUUCAUGUAUUUUAGUUGUAUUUUAUUCUAUUGUUAUUUUGCCAUCAUCUUUGCCUGCUGAAUGCACUAUGUACAGAACUUUGGUCAGUGCAAACUGUUUUAAAUGUGCUUUUAUGAAUAAAUUGUACUUACUUUCUUACUCACAUUGCACUUAAUCUACAUUGCACUUAUUCAUAGUAGCAUCUGCAGUAGCUGCAAUCAUUGCUGUACACGGGGAAUGGGUUAGCCUAGCGAUUGUUAGUACUUGCACUUGGUUCUAUGAACAUCUUUACUGUAGGCCUACUGACAGCAGAGCAUGUGAGCGGAGCGGAGCGGAAGAAAUAGGUUGGAGCGGGUUGGAGCGCAGAGCGGUUUUAAAUUCAAAGGCCGGAGCGGGGAUUUCACUCCGCUCCAGUCCGCUCCGAUUUUAACUGCUUCUAGCGGCUUACAUGUAGGUGGUUCACGUAGAAUAGAAUGGGUUUCAACGGGAGCAUCCAAGCAACCUGAUUGGAUAAAACGCGUCACGUGAGACCCUUCCACCCCCCCUCCGCAACACUGGCUCGUGUGCCCGCGAGAGUAGCAAGAUGGAGUUUGGGAAGUACUUCGAAAAGCAAGGUGAUAGGUCAUAUAAAUGCAAAAUUCAGGUCAAAAAGCGAGAGGAAGAUGUAGAGCAUGAGGAAGAAUGUGGCGACAUCAUCGCUGUGGGCAAAGAUUCGUAUUUUAACCUUCGAAGGCAUAUCAUGAGAAAACACGAGGAGGUAACUGAAUGAGACUUGACACAUGUAUCGUGACAUCAAUAAAUCAAACGCCAUAUGUCCCAGGGCCCUGGCAUAAUUACAUGAAGGGAAAAUGUCAGAAAAUGAUUUCUCCUAAAAAUUUGAGCGGAGCGUGGAGCGAUUUCGCCGGAGCGGCAGGAAAUUUAAGAUGAGCGCGGAGCGGUUUUGAGCGGAGCGCCCUGGCACAACGUUGAGCGGCAGAGCGAAUGAGCGGACAUCCUCCUGAGCGGGGAGCGGGAAUUGCGCGGCGCUCCGCUCCGCUCACAUGCUCUGACUGACAGCGAUAUAUUGUUUCACUUCUCAUGACAAAUGUACUUAUUGUAAGUCGUUUUGGAUAAAAGCGUCUGCUAAAUGCCCUAAAUAUAAAUGUUGGAAGCUUGGGUUUGUCUUUAAUGUUAUGUCUUCGA